UAAAGUGCGAUAUCUAGUGCGAUUUGCAUGAACCUGUGAGUCAUCGAGUUUUUGAACGCAACUUGCACCCGUAAGGGUAUGUCCCUUUGAGUACAGUACCAAUAUAUAAGGUUGGAUGAUGCCUAAGAGCUCAUCUUAAAGGUAGCGUUAGGUUGAAAGGGAAUGGUAGCCAUACUUCAGCACUUGAGGGGAAGGCGGUGUGAAGGUUACACUUAGACUACCCCCCUUUAGAGCUGUUCUACUAAUCCUCAUUAUAUCCUGUCUCAGAGGGGCAAGAUUACCCGCUGAACUUAA
RNAcentral lists this unclassified non-coding RNA (294 nucleotides) under uncultured fungus. Its description in RNAcentral is "sequence contains ITS1". The stretch from base 1 to 96 matches the Rfam family "5.8S ribosomal RNA", at positions 49 to 154 of the family's 154-position model. The record is from RNAcentral. Lineage: Eukaryota; Fungi.